AUGAGCCUUAUGUUUAUAUCCUGUCGUAUACCACUCACAUAUUUGGAUGCAGGGUAUUGGACUUGGUUGAUAUAAGCAUUACUAAUCCUUUUAUUCUUAUUGUAUUAUGCUUAUUGAAACCAAGUCACUUUGUAAACCUCAACUCUUUUCAUACUCGAGGUUGUCAUCAAUCACCAAAAAGGGGGAGAUUGAAAGAGCAUCUAGGCCCCUAGUGAUUUCGG
Molecule: long non-coding RNA, 221 nt
Filed under: Sorghum bicolor (sorghum)
Lineage: Eukaryota; Viridiplantae; Streptophyta; Magnoliopsida; Poales; Poaceae
Description: long non-coding RNA (SBIC_LNC013873)
Source: RNAcentral